UGCGCAGGUGGGCUUGUAAGUCAGUGGUGAAAUACUGCCGCUUAACGGUAGAACUGCCAUUGAUACUGCAAGUCUUGAAUAUGGUUGAGGUAGGCGGAAUGUGUCGUGUAGCGGUGAAAUGCAUAGAUAUGACACAGAACGCCGAUUGCGAAGGCAGCUUACUAAGCCAUUAUUGACGCUGAGGCACGAAAGCGUGGGGAGCGAACCGGAUUAGAUACCCGAGUAGUCC
Molecule: ribosomal RNA, 229 nt
Filed under: uncultured bacterium
Lineage: Bacteria
Description: partial 16S ribosomal RNA
Rfam family: Bacterial small subunit ribosomal RNA
Source: RNAcentral